GUCCUAGCCGUAAACGAUGGGCACUUGGUAAGGGGGAUUCCUAUGGUCCUCUUUGCCGGAGCAAAUGUGUUAAGUGCCCCGCCUGGGGAGUACGCUCGAAAGGGUAAAACUCAAAGGAAUUGACGGGGGCUCACACAAGCGGUGGAGCAUGUGGUUAAAUUCGAAGCAACGCGAAGAACCUUACCUGGGCUUGACAUGCAUGGAUUAGUCCUGUGAAAGCGGGAUGACAGCUCUUCGGAGUCGGAACAUGCACAGGUGUUGCAUGGCUGUCGU
RNAcentral lists this ribosomal RNA (273 nucleotides) under uncultured bacterium. RNAcentral's name for it is "partial 16S ribosomal RNA". It matches the Rfam family "Bacterial small subunit ribosomal RNA", at positions 793 to 1055 of the family's 1533-position model. The record is from RNAcentral.